Molecule: long non-coding RNA, 686 nt
Filed under: Olea europaea (common olive)
Lineage: Eukaryota; Viridiplantae; Streptophyta; Magnoliopsida; Lamiales; Oleaceae
Description: long non-coding RNA (OEUR_LNC005061)
Source: RNAcentral
GACCUAUUUGCUCUGUCAUAUAAUUGUCAAAACCACGUUCAGGAAUACAGGUCUUGUGUACCACCAAGCUAUUAUAACGUUCAGCGGCCUCGGCACUAAUGAAUUUGCUCCUGUCAAAUGAGCUAGAAGAGGAGGCUGCGGCUUUAGUUCUCUUUUUAGGCGGCAUUGGACCUGUACAAAGGUAAAAACAGCAAACCAUGAGCAACAAACAGUAAUAAUGGACAAUAAGGCAAGGCUAAAAAUCUAGCCAUACGAGGAAAUUAUGGUCGAACGUGCAAGUGAUGUACUCUAAACCCAAUUGUCAACUCAUAAUCAUCUACAUGGCAAUUCCCACAUAAUUCAAAUAGCACAAUAGCCAAAAUAGCUCCUUCUACCCAACUAAGUUCACCUAGACAAUUCAUCAAACACAUUGAAUGCACCAAUUUUUCACCAAAAAAUUGCCUAAAAGUUGGGAGUAGUUCAGGCCACAAUCUUCACACAACACACAAAGUUCUUGACACUACGACAAGGCAAGACCUCCUCAUACAUAAUUAACAAAAAUAAGCACAUAAACGCAACAACUAUAAUGUAAGAGGAGCAAAUACAAAAGCCAUACCUGGAAUGUUGUUGUGGAAACUAAUUUAGAUGGAUGAAUGCACACUUAUCAACAAAGAGAUGUGGAAAAACAGCAAAGGGAAGUGGUAGGG